GGGGACUACAGCUUUGGACAAAAGUCUAUAGCCAGAGCAUUCGUAAUUCCCCAUGCACAAGGGCUGACUGUGUCUGUGGGAAGACAUUUUAUUCAGUUGCUUUCUUAUUUCUUAGAGUUUUCUAGUCCUUUGCUCUCAGAUGUUUGCUACCUUUUAGAAUUUCACCUGUCUGGGUCACUGUACUUGAGAAAAUUCUGCAGCCUGUCAGAUGGUGUAGGUCUCAUAAAGACAGCUCUGUUCAGGUUUUGAAAGAGGGCUGCUCUCUAAGUGCUUGCUGUUAUCCUGUGCUGCCUCCUCUUUUAUUUCAAGAAUUAGGGGAGAGGGAAGAGGAUGCUUUCUUAACCCCUGUAUUUAGUGGCAAGCCAGAAUGUGCUCCCUGUGAAACCAUUUCUGACCCUCUGCUCGAAGUGGGACUGCAGUUUAAAGCUAGGAUUGGGACUUGGAAGGAUUCUCUAGGCAGACGGAACAGCCACGGAAGAAAAAAAACCGAACUGGAUUCACUGCGGACGGCGAAGAUGAGAGAGAUCGGGGAGGGGGGGCGAGGAAGAAGAGUCCCCGAGCGUCUGCCAGUCAGGACCACGGUCCGGGGGAAAACGCUCAAAGGCCCCCAGGCCGAGCGGGAGCGCGGAGGAGCCCCCGCGGACCUGCUCUGCCUUCUGCCAAUCAAAUGCUUCAGAGCCAACCGCCCGACCUGGCAGGAACCUAACUCUUCUCCGUGA
This is a long non-coding RNA of Salvator merianae (Argentine black and white tegu), 719 nucleotides long. NCBI's taxonomy places the organism in Eukaryota, Metazoa, Chordata, Lepidosauria, Squamata, Teiidae. The record is from Ensembl.